UAUCCAUGUUUUGAUCUUUAUUUUUUAAUUCUACUUCACACUCGGUUAUUAUGGAGUAUUAUUAAAUUUGGAUAAACCGAAAUACGAAUUCCUAAUAUUUGUCCUUCUGUCUCACUGGAUUCGUUCUCUAAAAUAUUUUUCAUAAUCCUCAGUCCUUAAUGGUGAUACUUGAUGAAUAUCUUUGGCCUUGAGUGCAAAGAUGAAUGAUUACCUGAUGAAUAUCUUUGGCCCGAGUGCAAAGAUGAACAGGUGUUGAGAUGAACAUGACCAACUGGUGAUACAAAUGAAUAUCUUUGGCCCGUAGUGCAAAGAUGAAUAUUUGAUGCAAUAUGUAUAUUGAUUGAUGUUACAUGGAUAAAAUAUUGAUGAUGGACUUUUAAAU
This 382-nucleotide long non-coding RNA is filed under the name Panax ginseng (ginseng). RNAcentral describes it as "long non-coding RNA (PGIN_LNC000659)". The record is from RNAcentral. Lineage: Eukaryota; Viridiplantae; Streptophyta; Magnoliopsida; Apiales; Araliaceae.